AUCCGGCUGAUGAGUCCCGAAUAGGACAAAACGCGCAUCUUGGAU
This 45-nucleotide non-coding RNA is filed under the name Schistosoma bovis. RNAcentral also lists the same sequence under 1 other name. The record is from RNAcentral. Lineage: Eukaryota; Metazoa; Platyhelminthes; Trematoda; Strigeidida; Schistosomatidae.